Molecule: long non-coding RNA, 273 nt
Organism: Sphaerodactylus townsendi
Lineage: Eukaryota; Metazoa; Chordata; Lepidosauria; Squamata; Sphaerodactylidae
Exons: 2
Source: RefSeq, a predicted model, not a curated record
CCAGUUUUUCUUUCAGUUGCCAUACCCUUGGAAGAUGUCAUGACUGGGAAGGAGGGCUCGGGAGCUGGAGAUAAGGCACCGUUUGCAGGAAGCUACGGCAUGGCCGGAGAGAUAACGUUUACGACUGCCCCAGUGUGCGGAACCGAGUAGCGAGAAGGCUGAGAAGGGGUGCUGUCUGAAUUUCACUCCACACGGGAACCUGCAUCUUUAAUACGAAUUUCAAUACCUAACACAAGCAAUCAAUAAAGCAAUGCCAACCAUCUGUAUCAGAAA